RNAcentral lists this non-coding RNA (23 nucleotides) under Panagrellus redivivus. Its record names the gene prd-let-7-5p. RNAcentral also lists the same sequence under 5 other names. Lineage: Eukaryota; Metazoa; Nematoda; Chromadorea; Rhabditida; Panagrolaimidae. The record is from miRBase by way of RNAcentral.
UGAGGUAGUAGGUUGUAUAGUUU